RNAcentral lists this ribosomal RNA (507 nucleotides) under Vibrio alginolyticus. Its description in RNAcentral is "bacterial SSU rRNA". It matches the Rfam family "Bacterial small subunit ribosomal RNA", at positions 104 to 607 of the family's 1533-position model. Lineage: Bacteria; Pseudomonadati; Pseudomonadota; Gammaproteobacteria; Vibrionales; Vibrionaceae. The record is from RNAcentral.
GGGUGAGUAAUGCCUAGGAAAUUGCCCUGAUGUGGGGGAUAACCAUUGGAAACGAUGGCUAAUACCGCAUGAUGCCUACGGGCCAAAGAGGGGGACCUUCGGGCCUCUCGCGUCAGGAUAUGCCUAGGUGGGAUUAGCUAGUUGGUGAGGUAAGGGCUCACCAAGGCGACGAUCCCUAGCUGGUCUGAGAGGAUGAUCAGCCACACUGGAACUGAGACACGGUCCAGACUCCUACGGGAGGCAGCAGUGGGGAAUAUUGCACAAUGGGCGCAAGCCUGAUGCAGCCAUGCCGCGUGUGUGAAGAAGGCCUUCGGGUUGUAAAGCACUUUCAGUCGUGAGGAAGGUGGUGUCGUUAAUAGCUGCUUCAUUUGACGUUAGCGACAGAAGAAGCACCGGCUAACUCCGUGCCAGCAGCCGCGGUAAUACGGAGGGUGCGAGCGUUAAUCGGAAUUACUGGGCGUAAAGCGCAUGCAGGUGGUUUGUUAAGUCAGAUGUGAAAGCCCGGGG